AGCCUCCUGGGGUGUUUGCUAGUCACGAAGUCCUUGAGCCGAUAAAGUACCCUCGGGGUUCAGAGCAGACGACAGUGUGCAUGUCCGCGAGCCGGAAAGCCUAAGGCGCCUGUGCGAUCCCCACCUUGAACCAUCGGGUUCAAGGCCACAUUGACGGCGGCACCUCCGGGACCUGU
RNAcentral lists this non-coding RNA (176 nucleotides) under Porticoccaceae bacterium. Its description in RNAcentral is "6S RNA". It matches the Rfam family "6S / SsrS RNA". Rfam says of the family: E. coli 6S RNA was the first non coding RNA to be sequenced, but its function was unknown until recently. It consists of 184 nucleotides that fold into an extended hairpin structure with a large single-stranded internal bulge. The 6S RNA specifically associates with RNA polymerase holoenzyme containing the sigma70 specificity factor. Lineage: Bacteria; Pseudomonadati; Pseudomonadota; Gammaproteobacteria; Cellvibrionales; Porticoccaceae. The record is from RNAcentral.